Physeter macrocephalus (sperm whale) is the source of this 3745-nucleotide RNA transcript. It is a transcript of the gene named actin-binding protein WASF1-like, with no coding region annotated. The record is from RefSeq and is a predicted model, not a curated record. The transcript is spliced from 2 exons. NCBI's taxonomy places the organism in Eukaryota, Metazoa, Chordata, Mammalia, Artiodactyla, Physeteridae.
UAGGAGGCGGGGGGCAGUCCUCGGGACUCCAGCCGGGCCUCGUGGCUGGUCAGGGGCUUACGUCUCAUGUACUUUUCUGUAACCCCCGGCCCCCCCCCCCACAGCUGCCCACACCCGCUGCGGCCUGCGGGCAGCCGCUUAAAGGGCACGCGCACCAUCACGCCGGGUGGGGGUCGGGGGUCACUGUGCCUGGACGAGGCCCCACAGGCCGGAGGCCAAGGGCUUCGGCUUAGCGCCCCCUGCGGAAGGCCUUGCCCACUCCUCUGGGCCCUCCCCUGUAGGCCGGCUCUCUCAGCCCCCCAUCCUGGCCCGGUCACCCUGCCCUGUCCUCUGGGCCCAGGAGAGAGCUAUUUCUGGAGAAGCAGGUCACUCUGUCAGAGCUCCAGGCUGACGCCGCCGUCCUUGCAGCCAUCCCAGCCGGGCUGGCGGCUUCUGAGAGCUCUGCCCACGCGCCCUCACCAGCGACACCCCCCCACCAAGCCCGCCCCGCCCAGGCCCGGGCUGCAGCCCUGCAGGACCACAGGAGCACGUAGAGAGAACUGGACCACCGUCCUCUGGCCCUCACUACCCAAGCCCGUGUCACCGUCAGUCACCCACCCCCACCCCAGAAAGCCCGCCCCCACCGGGCCAGCACACUGCGGAGCCAUCACUGUAUUGGGGCCACCCCGCUAGUGACCUGGAAGAGAAUUUACUUUAGCGUCCGAGUGGGUGGAUGUGGAAAGCCAGGGAAGAGGUCGCCAGCGGCUCUUUACUAUGGAUCUGGUCCCAGAACCCUCCCAACCUGGUAUUCAGAGCAUUCUCCUGAAAGCAAGAUCUCCCUUUGUAUUUUGCGGGGGGGAUACUGAGGCAUAUAUGGGCUAAGCCUGCUUUCCUUAACCUGGACCCUAAUUCCUUCCCCCAUCUUGUAAUUCCAACGCUUCCUCCUUCCUCCAGAAAACAGUAAGGUAGGGUUAGAAUGCAAAGCAGCACCGUUCCAUUCAAGGGCCUGUGUAGGGCCGCCGGUGGGAAUCGGGGCAACGGCUCCGCGGAGAGGCCCUGCCAAGGGCGUCCGGGCGGCCCCUGCGAGGGGGUGGGUGCAGCAUGGCCACGGCGGGGCUGAGGGGGGGCGGGGGUCCAUUCCCCGCAGGGCAGGCUGCCCGGGAGGCAGACACAGCCUUGGGAGAGAGACGGGAGGAGUAGGGUGCAGCUGAGUCAGUGUUUAAAUAUGCCCAAGUGGCUGCCACCCCAGGGGCAAGGCAGAAACGGGCUUGAGGGGAGGGAAAACAGGACCCAAAAUAGUUGCCGUGCUCACAGGCCGGGCGGCCGGCCACGUACCCGGGAGGGCCGCCCGCACCUGCCCCUGCCUGUCCUGCUGCCGCCUGGCUCCCAGGGAGCUUGUCGAGGGCCCUGGGGUCCCGCAGGUCCUGCGGCCCGAUGGCUCCCCGGGCCCGACCCUGGAGCGCCUGGAAUCAGAGCACUCUGCGUGGGAGCCCUGCGUGCGCCCCCCAUCGCCCCGCCCCAGGAGAGGCAGGAGGACGUGUUCCUUCCUGUGCUACAGAAACUGUGCCACCGCUGUCACCCUGGGGGCCCCCAAGCCCCUCCGGCCGGGGCUCUUUCCCUGGAGGGCGCGGGCGGCGCCGUCUGUCUGUCCGAGAGCCACGUCGCCAGCCUUCCCAAGCCCCCAGCCUCCCUCCCAUCCCCGCUUCCUUAGGCUCCCCCUCCAGCGGGCAGAGAGAAGCAGGCAUGGGGGCUCUCUCGGCAGCUCAGUUUCCUCGUCUGUAAAACAGAGCUGACGAUUGCUGCCUGCCAGAAUCGGGGAGGACAGGAGACCGGUGUGCGGGAGCGUCCGCCUCGCCGGGCCCGCCCCACGCCCAGGGGCGGACAGCCUGCCCGCGCCGCGGAGCUGUGGUCCCAGGUCUUGUCUGGGGGCCUGGGCUCCGUCCCGCCCGCCUCUAACCCAGCCAGGCACUCCCUGCCCCAGAGCCUGCUCCUCCGAGGGGCCUCCGUCUUGGCCAAUGGCACCGAGCUGCCCAGUGGGGACACUUGGGCCCUUUCCGGACCCCUCCCGUCGCUCUGCCCCGGCGACCUCCGCCCACCCAGCCCAGGCCUCUCUGCACUCUGCGCCGGCCGGCCUGUCCCCCAGACUCGCACGGCCUGUGUCCCCACGCCUCCCCGGCCUGCACGAGCCCUGACGGCCCCCGCGUGAUGCCCGGGCCCCGGCGCCCUGCUCACAGCGGCCGCUCUGCCUGUGUGCCCAGGUCCGCCCCCAGCAGACCUCCCAUCUGCCCAGGCCCCUCUGAGCCCCCAGGGCGAGCUCGUCCUGUGUGUCCCGCGGUGCCCGUACCACUGUGCUGCUCUCCACCCGCCUCCGCCCAGCUGCAGCCCCCCGAGACCACGAGCGGGCCCCUGCUUUCUCUGCCACAGGACAGAAGAGUCCAGAGCCUUUGCUGUGUCACCAGCGUCUAGAACCACGCCGGCCACAUGGGUGUCUGAUGUGUCGGUGUCCCUGGCGCUGGUCCUCUGCUGUCACCCUGGGACGAGCGACGUAGAGGCUCUAAGAAGCAGCACUUGGGAACCAUCAGAGCGACGUGCCACAACCUCCAAGCACGUGGGUGGAUCAGAGACGGCACAGGCCGCGACGUGGUCCCGCGUGGGAGGGCAGCUGGUCAGCCCGCGGCUGGAUGACAUUUAACAGUAACAAACUGGUCUCUCCUCACGGAUUGUCUGCGGAGCUCUGCUCUGGGGCACACAGUACUGCCUGGCACACAGUAGGUGCUCCAGAAAUGUUUGUUGAAUGAAUACACGACGGAAAAUUUAACCUCUGCCGCCACAUCCCUCAAAAGCAGGGGUGGCCUCGCGAUCUCUAUUCCUGAGAAGGGACGCUAGACCCCAGGCUCUGGCUCCAGAGCAGGGAGGACAUGCCUGCCCCGGCCCCCCCGGCCCCCCGACCUCGAGGGAGGACCAUAAGCCUGUCCGUCUCUGAGGCGAGGCUCCGAUACCAGCUCCCCUAGAAGGAAGGACCUUAAUUACCAGACGUCCCCCCACAGACAGGCCUCUCACUGGGCCCCUGGGGCCACGCUUGGCCGGAGGUGGGCCUGGUACGUGACCCUGACCCACAGGCCUUGCACCUCCUUCUGGAGGCGCUGGAGCCAGACCCUCCCAAAGUCCUGGGCCGAAAACAGCAGGGCUCAGGCUGCGUCUCCCCCUCUCACUGCCUCUAUUUUCGGGCUGAGUCCUCCCUCUCCAGGGGUCAGCCACCCUGGCCCGACUGCUCACCCACCCUGGCAGGCCCCGGGCUCUGUGGGGAGGGGGUGGGAGUGGGCUGGGCUCCCUCCAGGGGGCCUGCUUGGCCUCAGUCUCCCUGUGGGACCGCAGAGGGGCCGCACUCCUGCCCCAGGCACUGGGCCUUGCCCGACAGCUGGCCUGGGCCCCAGCCUCCCAGCCCCCGGCAGCCCCUUGGAGGGCUCUGGCAUCUGCAGCGUCCACAGAAGGACCCUAAGGGGCUGGUCGGGGCAGGGCUGCAGGGUAGCCAGGCAGCUGUGGUCACAGGUCCUGGGAAGGAGGCAGACCCAUCCCAGGGCUGAGGCUCCUUCCUUAGGCUCAAGGCGCUGUGACCUGUUAGGACACAAAUGUUACUGGGGGUGGGGGGAGUGGCAUUCCACUCUAUUUGUUAACUCUUUAAGGCACGUCUGCUUCAAUGAGCCAAGUGGGUGUGGCUGAGGGACAGGGAGCUGGUGCUUGUAGCGGGGCGGCGGGGGGUGGGGGU